GGAAUAUUGGACAAUGGGCGCAAGCCUGAUCCAGCAAUGCCGCGUGAGUGAUGAAGGCCUUAGGGUUGUAAAGCUCUUUCGCACGUGACGAUAAUGACGGUAACGUGAGAAGAAGCCCCGGCUAACUUCGUGNCAGCAGC
This 140-nucleotide ribosomal RNA is filed under the name alpha proteobacterium H4. RNAcentral's name for it is "partial 16S ribosomal RNA". It matches the Rfam family "Bacterial small subunit ribosomal RNA", at positions 358 to 515 of the family's 1533-position model. Lineage: Bacteria; Pseudomonadati; Pseudomonadota; Alphaproteobacteria. The record is from RNAcentral.